ACGCGAGUGGAUGCCAAUCCCAAACCUCUCUCGGUUCGGACUGGAGUCUGCAACCCGACUCCACGAAGCUGGAUUCGCUAGUAAUCGCGCAUCAGCCACGGCGCGGUGAAUACGUUCCCGGGCCUUGUACACACCGCCCGUCAAGCCAUGGGAGCCGGGGGUACCUGAAGUGCGUAACCGCGAGGAGCGCCCUAGGGUAAAACUGGUGACUGGGGCUAAGUCGUAACAAGGUACC
RNAcentral lists this ribosomal RNA (235 nucleotides) under uncultured bacterium. RNAcentral describes it as "partial 16S ribosomal RNA". It matches the Rfam family "Bacterial small subunit ribosomal RNA", at positions 1255 to 1500 of the family's 1533-position model. The record is from RNAcentral.